RNAcentral lists this ribosomal RNA (253 nucleotides) under uncultured prokaryote. RNAcentral describes it as "partial 16S ribosomal RNA". It matches the Rfam family "Bacterial small subunit ribosomal RNA", at positions 525 to 777 of the family's 1533-position model. The record is from RNAcentral.
ACGUAGGGGGCAAGCGUUGUUCGGAAUUACUGGGCGUAAAGGGCGCGUAGGCGGCACAGCAAGUCGGGAGUGAAAUCCCCGGGCUCAACCUGGGAACUGCAUUUGUGACUGCAUCGCUGGAGUGCGGCAGAGGGGGAUGGAAUUCCGCGUGUAGCAGUGAAAUGCGUAGAUAUGCGGAGGAACACCGAUGGCGAAGGCAAUCCCCUGGGCCUGCACUGACGCUCAUGCACGAAAGCGUGGGGAGCAAACAGGA